CCCUUAGAUGUUCGGGGCCGCACGCGCGCUACACUGAAGGACUCAGCGUGUCUCUCCCCCUAUCCCGAAAGGGAUGGGCAACCCGUUGAACCUCCUUCGUGCUAGGGAUUGGGGUUUGCAAUUAUCCCCCAUGAACGAGGAAUUCCCAGUAAGCGCGAGUCAUCAGCUCGCGUUGAUUACGUCCCUGCCCUUUGUACACACCGCCCGUCGCUACUACCGAUUGGAUGGUUUAGUGAGAUCCUCGGAUUGGACCCGGCAUGGUGGGUUACCGCCGCGCCGGCGUGCCGAGAAGACGAUCAAACUUGAUCAUCUAGAGGAAGUAAAAGUCGUAACA
This 334-nucleotide ribosomal RNA is filed under the name uncultured eukaryote. RNAcentral describes it as "partial 18S ribosomal RNA". It matches the Rfam family "Eukaryotic small subunit ribosomal RNA", at positions 1470 to 1796 of the family's 1831-position model. The record is from RNAcentral.